This 217-nucleotide long non-coding RNA is filed under the name Lathyrus oleraceus (garden pea). RNAcentral's name for it is "Pisum sativum (pea) long non-coding RNA (PSAT_LNC003540)". The record is from RNAcentral. Lineage: Eukaryota; Viridiplantae; Streptophyta; Magnoliopsida; Fabales; Fabaceae.
AAAAAAAAGGAAUUAAUUCUAUGUUGUAAAGGUAAAUUUUACAUACAUUUUAGAACACGAUUUUGUUGAUAACAUUAACAUACAUAAUAUUUUAAAAAAUAACGAAAUAAAAAAGAAUAUAUAUUGAGAGAGAAAUGAUUAUAAAAUAGUAUACUCCUUUUUAACUUAUAUUGAUUAGAACAGUUGAAGAGAAAACAAAAAAAUGAAGAGUAUAAAC